GGAAAUGACCGCCGACUACCCAAGCUACCGUUCAGCUUUAGCCCAAUUCUCUCCCAUGAGGUCCUGACUCCCACCAGGAAGUGUGCCCUGACUUCCCCACCUAGCAGGAUCACGAGGUACUGUAAUGCUCCUGUGAGUUCCAAGAGAAGGAUGAGUGGGGACCUUGUUCCCAGUCAAGCUACAAGUCAAGACAAACCCCAGACCACCAGCUGGCUCCAUGAAAGGAUAACACCCGGGCACACUGGGAGCUGAGCUACAGACACCUCCUCGCCCAGCGUCUCCCUACUUGCUGGUCAGAUGCCACUAUGGUGACCCAAGUGUCUGCAUUCCAGCCCGCUUUGCUGUGGAACAAUCUUGACAUUAGAAAUCAUCACAUCCAUUUGAUGGAUUAGCCAAGUGAGACUCAAAGAGAAAUUAAGGCA
Molecule: long non-coding RNA, 422 nt
Organism: Lutra lutra (Eurasian river otter)
Lineage: Eukaryota; Metazoa; Chordata; Mammalia; Carnivora; Mustelidae
Exons: 3
Source: RefSeq, a predicted model, not a curated record